This 72-nucleotide transfer RNA is filed under the name Actinomycetota bacterium. Its description in RNAcentral is "tRNA-Ala". It matches the Rfam family "tRNA". Rfam says of the family: Transfer RNA (tRNA) molecules are approximately 80 nucleotides in length. Their secondary structure includes four short double-helical elements and three loops (D, anti-codon, and T loops). The record is from RNAcentral. Lineage: Bacteria; Bacillati; Actinomycetota.
GGGGCUGUAGCUCAGUUGGCUAGAGCACCUGCUUUGCAAGCAGGGGUCGGGGUUCGAUUCCCCCAGCUCCAC